UCGUUCGCGUACCACGAGACACUUUCGCGCUCUUCAAACUUUGUGUCGAAAAAAGCCAAGGCAUUUGGCCGAAACAGACAACUGACGGCCCACCCGAAAUUUGUCGAAACGCGCUCAGCCAUUUAGACGCAUGCACGUCGCAUCGCUAUCAGUAAUCCAAUUUGUAUUUUAUUACAUGGUUAUUAGCAAUGAUGAUCGCACUUUUAUAACACUACGUCCAAUCCUUUUGCCAGUUGCAAAAAGAAUCUUGUUAUAAAAGAAACAAACACGAGAAGCGCGGUCCCAUUAUUUACCACAUUGAACAUAACAAGCGCUAUCGCGCUCUUCAGCUUUUUUCGAUAUGUAAU
Vespa mandarinia (Asian giant hornet) is the source of this 347-nucleotide long non-coding RNA. The record is from RefSeq and is a predicted model, not a curated record. Lineage: Eukaryota; Metazoa; Arthropoda; Insecta; Hymenoptera; Vespidae.